This is a small nuclear RNA of Vigna angularis (adzuki bean), 161 nucleotides long. It matches the Rfam family "U1 spliceosomal RNA". From Rfam's summary of the family: U1 is a small nuclear RNA (snRNA) component of the spliceosome (involved in pre-mRNA splicing). Its 5' end forms complementary base pairs with the 5' splice junction, thus defining the 5' donor site of an intron. The record is from Rfam. Lineage: Eukaryota; Viridiplantae; Streptophyta; Magnoliopsida; Fabales; Fabaceae.
AUACUUACCUGGAUGGGGUUAAUGAGUGAUCAUGAAGACUCAUAGCCUAGACCAGUGACCUUCAUUGCACCAAGAAGGGAGUCUUGUUCUAAGGUCUACCCUAGUGGUGGAGCCUACAUCAUAAUUUAUGGUAGAGGGGCUUGCGUUCGCGCAGCCCCUAU